GCGAGCUUGGCGGAAUGGUAGACGCACGAGACUUAAAAUCUCGAGUCCGAAAGGGCGUGCGGGUUCGAGUCCCGCAGCUCGCA
This 83-nucleotide transfer RNA is filed under the name Gluconobacter roseus NBRC 3990. RNAcentral's name for it is "tRNA-Leu". It matches the Rfam family "tRNA". From Rfam's summary of the family: Transfer RNA (tRNA) molecules are approximately 80 nucleotides in length. Their secondary structure includes four short double-helical elements and three loops (D, anti-codon, and T loops). Lineage: Bacteria; Pseudomonadati; Pseudomonadota; Alphaproteobacteria; Acetobacterales; Acetobacteraceae. The record is from RNAcentral.